This 497-nucleotide ribosomal RNA is filed under the name uncultured bacterium. RNAcentral describes it as "partial 16S ribosomal RNA". It matches the Rfam family "Bacterial small subunit ribosomal RNA", at positions 28 to 507 of the family's 1533-position model. The record is from RNAcentral.
GAUGAACGCUGGCGGCGUGCCUAAUACAUGCAAGUCGAGCGAACGGACGAGAAGCUUGCUUCUCUGAUGUUAGCGGCGGACGGGUGAGUAACACGUGGAUAACCUACCUAUAAGACUGGGAUAACUUCGGGAAACCGGAGCUAAUACCGGAUAAUAUUUUGAACCGCAUGGUUCAAAAGUGAAAGACGGUCUUGCUGUCACUUAUAGAUGGAUCCGCGCUGCAUUAGCUAGUUGGUAAGGUAACGGCUUACCAAGGCAACGAUGCAUAGCCGACCUGAGAGGGUGAUCGGCCACGCGGGGGCUGAGAGGCGGUCCAGAACCCUGCGGGAGGCAGCAGUAGGGAAUCUUCCGCUAUGGGCGAAAGCCUGACGGAGCAACGCCGCGUGAUGGAUGAAGGUCUUCGGAUCGUAAAACUCUGUUAUUAGGGAAGAACAUAUGUGUAAGUAACUGUGGACAUCUUGACGGUACCUAGUCAGAAAGCCACGGCUAACUACGUG